CUGACCUUAGCUCAGUUGGUAAAGUGGUGGACUGUGGUUGGACUAAUCUAAAUUGGAAUCCUUAGGUCGCUGGUUUGAUUCCGGCAGGUUGGA
Molecule: transfer RNA, 93 nt
Filed under: Ipomoea nil (Japanese morning glory)
Lineage: Eukaryota; Viridiplantae; Streptophyta; Magnoliopsida; Solanales; Convolvulaceae
Rfam family: tRNA
About the family: Transfer RNA (tRNA) molecules are approximately 80 nucleotides in length. Their secondary structure includes four short double-helical elements and three loops (D, anti-codon, and T loops).
Source: Rfam by way of RNAcentral